RNAcentral lists this ribosomal RNA (439 nucleotides) under uncultured bacterium. Its description in RNAcentral is "partial 16S ribosomal RNA". It matches the Rfam family "Bacterial small subunit ribosomal RNA", at positions 339 to 795 of the family's 1533-position model. The record is from RNAcentral.
CUACGGGUUGCAGCAGUGAGGAAUAUUGCACAAUGGGGGAAACCCUGAUGCAGCAACGCCGCGUGGAGGAUGACGCAUUUCGGUGUGUAAACUCCUUUUAUAUGUCAAGAAAAUGACGGUAGCAUAUGAAUAAGCACCGGCUAACUCCGUGCCAGCAGCCGCGGUAAUACGGAGGGUGCAAGCGUUACUCGGAAUCACUGGGCGUAAAGGACGCGUAGGCGGGUUGUCAAGUCAGGUGUGAAAUCCUACAGCUUAACUGUAGAACUGCACUUGAAACUUCUAAUCUAGAGUAUGGGAGGGGGAGAUGGAAUUAGUGGUGUAGGGGUAAAAUCCGUAGAUAUCACUAGGAAUACCUAAAGCGAAGGCGAUCUCCUGGAACAUUACUGACGCUAAGGCGUGAAAGCGUGGGGAGCAAACAGGAUUAGAUACCCUUGUAGUC